This 474-nucleotide ribosomal RNA is filed under the name uncultured bacterium. RNAcentral's name for it is "SSU rRNA". It matches the Rfam family "Bacterial small subunit ribosomal RNA", at positions 26 to 518 of the family's 1533-position model. The record is from RNAcentral.
AGGACGAACGCUGGCGGCGUGCUUAACACAUGCAAGUCGAGCGGUAAGGCCCUUUCGGGGGUACACGAGCGGCGAACGGGUGAGUAACACGUGGGUGACCUGCCCUUAGCUCUGGGAUAAGCCUGGGAAACUGGGUCUAAUACCGGAUAUGACCUCGCGAUGCAUGUCGUGGGGUGGAAAGCCUUGUGCGGCUAGGGAUGGGCCCGCGGCCUAUCAGCUUGUUGGUGGGGUGAUGGCCUACCAAGGCGACGACGGGUAGCCGGCCUGAGAGGGCGACCGGCCACACUGGGAUUGAGAACGGCCCAGACUCCUACGGGGGCAGCAGUGAGGAAUUUUCCGCAAUGGGCGCAAGCCUGACGGAGCAACGCCGCGUGCAGGAAGACGGUUUUCGGAUCGUAAACUGCUUUUCGUCGGGGACGAGAACGGACGGUACCCGAGGAAUCAGCCCCGGCUAACGUACGCGCCAGCAGCCGC